Molecule: ribosomal RNA, 396 nt
Filed under: uncultured bacterium
Lineage: Bacteria
Description: bacterial SSU rRNA
Rfam family: Bacterial small subunit ribosomal RNA
Source: RNAcentral
GACGAACGCUGGCGGCGUGCUUAACACAUGCAAGUCGAGCGGUAAGGCCCUUUCGGGGGUACACGAGCGGCGAACGGGUGAGUAACACGUGGGUGACCUGCCCUCAGCUCUGGGAUAAGCCUGGGAAACCGGGUCUAAUACUGGAUAUGACUCCAUGACGCAUGUUGUGGGGUGGAAAGCCUUGUGCGGCUGAGGAUGGGCCCGCGGCCUAUCAGCUUGUUGGUGGGGUGANGGCCUACCAAGGCGACGACGGGUAGCCGGCCUGAGAGGGCGACCGGCCACACUGGGACUGAGACACGGCCCAGACUCCUACGGGAGGCAGCAGUGGGGAAUCCUGGACAAUGGGCGCAAGCCUGAUCCAGCCAUGCCGCGUGGGUGAAGAAGGCCUGGUGUAAG